CAGUGUAAUGGUAUUUCCCGCGGUUAUUUUUGUACAAUAAAAUACGGUAUAACUACAAUUUUGCAAAGUCUCAAUCAGUUUUCCAAGCAAGUCAAUACAUGCAAUAACAAAAAAAAUUUGGGACAAGACAAUGUUUAAAAAACGUGAUCAAAGAAAAGAAAAGAAAAUGUACUUGUAAUCAACACUGGAGAAAAAUGGACUCUUCAGAAGAAAUUGUCACAUGGAAAUGUCUUGGGCAGAUUAAAAAGAAGAAGUAACUGUGCCAGGAAGCAGUUCCAGUCAUUUGCAGCAACAGGACUGUGAUGAAUAGAACUUUAAUAUGAAUUGAAUCAAAAUAUAGAAUUUAACAAAUUUGUGUCAGAUGAUAUACUCUUAUGAUGCUAUUGAAGGACAUCAAUGAUGAGAAAGAAGUAAAGGAAAAGACAAUAAAUGACAGCAUAUCAAAUAUCACAAUGUAUAUUAAGUCAGUUAAUACAUUGUUUCAACUACAUACUUUACAGCAUUUCAUUUUAACCAUGUGUGAAUUUUGUCUAUUCAAACUUAACCAAAUGCUUUAAAAUUAAGAUAUUGAAUAUUUUAGGCAGACAUGUUUUCGUAUUUUUUCAUUUAUUUUUCAAACUUUCAAGUUAUUACAUUCUUCAGUGGCGGAUCCAGCCAAAAGCCCAUUUUUCAAAGGGGUUUUCCAACCAAGGAUAAAGGAGGGAUUCUAAUCGUGUCUUUCAUUUUUAAAUUGUUAAUUUCCACAAUAAAAAUAAAACAUAUAAGCCAAAGAUAAAAAAAU
Mytilus trossulus (common blue mussel) is the source of this 781-nucleotide long non-coding RNA. RefSeq lists it as uncharacterized. NCBI's taxonomy places the organism in Eukaryota, Metazoa, Mollusca, Bivalvia, Mytilida, Mytilidae. The transcript is spliced from 3 exons. The record is from RefSeq and is a predicted model, not a curated record.